GAAAUGCGAUAAGUAAUGUGAAUUGCAGAAUUCAGUGAAUCAUCGAAUCUUUGAACGCACCUUGCGCUCCUUGGUAUUCCGAGGAGCAUGCCUGUUGAGUGUCAUGGAAUUCUCAACUCUAUUUGCUUUUGUGAAUAGAGCUUGGAUUUGGAGGUUUAUUGCUGGUACUUGUGAUCGGCUCCUCUUGAAUGCAUUAGCUCGAACCUUUGCGGAUCAGCUAUCGGUGUGAUAAUUGUCUACGCCGUUGCAGUGAAGCAUAUCAAUGGGCUCGGCUUCCAAUCGUCCUUUACUGGACAAUGACUUUGACCUUUGACCUCAAAUCAGGUAGGAUUACCCGCUGAACUUAAGC
Molecule: unclassified non-coding RNA, 349 nt
Filed under: plant metagenome
Description: partial contains 5.8S ribosomal RNA, internal transcribed spacer 2, and large subunit ribosomal RNA
Rfam family: 5.8S ribosomal RNA (bases 1-104)
Source: RNAcentral